GCCCGGUUAGCUCAGUCGGUAGAGCAUGAGACUCUUAAUCUCAGGGUCGUGGGUUCGAACCCCACAUUGUUCG
This 73-nucleotide transfer RNA is filed under the name Anneissia japonica. RNAcentral's name for it is "tRNA-Lys". It matches the Rfam family "tRNA". From Rfam's summary of the family: Transfer RNA (tRNA) molecules are approximately 80 nucleotides in length. Their secondary structure includes four short double-helical elements and three loops (D, anti-codon, and T loops). Further hydrogen bonds mediate the characteristic L-shaped molecular structure. tRNAs have two regions of fundamental functional importance: the anti-codon, which is responsible for specific mRNA codon recognition, and the 3' end, to which the tRNAs corresponding amino acid is attached (by aminoacyl-tRNA synthetases). tRNAs cope with the degeneracy of the genetic code in two manners: having more than one tRNA (with a specific anti-codon) for a particular amino acid; and 'wobble' base-pairing, i.e. permitting non-standard base-pairing at the 3rd anti-codon position. The record is from RNAcentral. Lineage: Eukaryota; Metazoa; Echinodermata; Crinoidea; Comatulida; Comatulidae.